Camelus ferus (Wild Bactrian camel) is the source of this 72-nucleotide transfer RNA. It matches the Rfam family "tRNA". From Rfam's summary of the family: Transfer RNA (tRNA) molecules are approximately 80 nucleotides in length. Their secondary structure includes four short double-helical elements and three loops (D, anti-codon, and T loops). Further hydrogen bonds mediate the characteristic L-shaped molecular structure. tRNAs have two regions of fundamental functional importance: the anti-codon, which is responsible for specific mRNA codon recognition, and the 3' end, to which the tRNAs corresponding amino acid is attached (by aminoacyl-tRNA synthetases). tRNAs cope with the degeneracy of the genetic code in two manners: having more than one tRNA (with a specific anti-codon) for a particular amino acid; and 'wobble' base-pairing, i.e. permitting non-standard base-pairing at the 3rd anti-codon position. NCBI's taxonomy places the organism in Eukaryota, Metazoa, Chordata, Mammalia, Artiodactyla, Camelidae. The record is from Rfam.
GAAGGUACAGCUCAGUGGUAGAGUGCGUGCUUAGCGUGCAGGAGGUCAUGGGUUCGAUCCCCAGUCCCUCCA